Molecule: transfer RNA, 57 nt
Filed under: Loxodonta africana (African savanna elephant)
Lineage: Eukaryota; Metazoa; Chordata; Mammalia; Proboscidea; Elephantidae
Rfam family: tRNA
About the family: Transfer RNA (tRNA) molecules are approximately 80 nucleotides in length.
Source: Rfam by way of RNAcentral
UGGCUUAGUGGUUAAGCACUCAGCUGCUAACCGAAAGGUCAGUGGUUUGAACCCACU